GUAGGGUGCGAGCGUUAUCCGGGAAUCAUUGGGCGUAAAGAGCCCGUAGGCGGUUCAGCAAGUCGGCUGUGAGAUUCCGAGGGCUCAACCUCGGAACUGCAGUCGAUACUGCUGUGACUCGAGUCCGGUAGAGGAGAAUGGAAUUCAGGGUGUAGCGGUGAAAUGCGCAGAUAUCCUGAGGAACACCAGUAGCGAAGGCGGUUCUCUGGGCCGGUACUGACGCUGAGGAGCGAAAGCGUGGGUAGCAAACAGGAUUAGAUACCCUGGUAGUCCACGCCGUAAACGUUGGACACUAGGUGUGGCGUUCCGACCAACGGGUGCCGUGCCGAAGCUAACGCAUUAAGUGUCCCGCCUGGGGAGUACGGCCGCAAGGCUA
This 376-nucleotide ribosomal RNA is filed under the name uncultured organism. RNAcentral describes it as "partial 16S ribosomal RNA". It matches the Rfam family "Bacterial small subunit ribosomal RNA", at positions 527 to 896 of the family's 1533-position model. The record is from RNAcentral.